UGCAUUUCUUUACUGUGAAAUUAGACUGAAGCUAAUACAGCAGUUUAAUAAGUUUAAAAUAUAUCAGGAGAUACUUUCCAAAGAAUGUUAUCCAAAGGAUCUUUAGUCCUAUGUACUGAAAAUGUGACAGAAAGCUGAGUAGAACUGCCUACAGGAGGUCCUGAUUUUGAUCGGGAGUGUUCCGUUGAUGCUGCCAACACUGCAGCACCUUGUUCCAUUUUAUCAUUCUUUGUGCAUGAGCCUGCGCAGUGAAUGCCAACUCUUAAGCUUUCUAGCAAGAUUUGCUACACAAACCAAAGACUUAACGCAUCAAGGAGUUGCUGAAAGAUGCCGGAUCAAAGUGGCCUGCAGCAUCCUCACUGAAAGCAGGCUUCCUCACAUCUGUCACACCCGGUCCAGCUGCAUGAACCAAGAGCAACCUUCACAGUCACACACCCACAACCGCUUUACACGAUCGACUGUCAUCACCUUCCCCCUGCUGUGAGCCAAGAGGAGAGGAUCGGGUAACAGAGGCCCAUGUACCUCGCACUUCAGCAGAGCAGACUCAAGUUUCUCAAGCGCACUUGUGAAGAUUGACUAGAGCUAAGGAUACAUACAGUCUGUGUCCAUUUUAAUGGGAUUGAAUUUCAAACUGAGCUAUGACAUCGCAACAAAAUAGCAACAAAACUAUACUGUU
This is a long non-coding RNA of Rhincodon typus (whale shark), 676 nucleotides long. RefSeq lists it as uncharacterized. The transcript has 4 exons. NCBI's taxonomy places the organism in Eukaryota, Metazoa, Chordata, Chondrichthyes, Orectolobiformes, Rhincodontidae. The record is from RefSeq and is a predicted model, not a curated record.